This 460-nucleotide ribosomal RNA is filed under the name uncultured bacterium. RNAcentral's name for it is "partial 16S ribosomal RNA". It matches the Rfam family "Bacterial small subunit ribosomal RNA", at positions 338 to 795 of the family's 1533-position model. The record is from RNAcentral.
CCUACGGGUGGCAGCAGUGAGGAAUAUUGGUCAAUGGCCGGAAGGCUGAACCAGCCAUGCCGCGUGAAGGUCAGUGCCCUAUGGGCGUUAAACUUCUUUUGUGCGGGAGCAAUAAUGGUCACGUGUGGCCAGACGAGAGUACCGUACGAAUAAGCAUCGGCUAACUCCGUGCCAGCAGCCGCGGUAAUACGGGGGGUGCAAGCGUUAUCCGGAUUUAUUGGGUUUAAAGGGUGCGUAGGCUGUGAGGUAAGUCAGCGGUGAAAUGCCCCCGCUCAACGGGGUGAAGUGCCAUUGAUACUGGCUGGCUGGAAUGCGGAUGCCGUGGGAGGAAUGAGUGGUGUAGCGGUGAAAUGCAUAGAUAUCACACAGAACACCGAUUGCGAAGGCAUCUCACGAAUCCGCGAUUGACGCUGAUGCACGAAAGCGUGGGUAUCAAACAGGAUUAGAUACCCCUGUAGUC